GGCAAUUACAAGGUAAGCUAAACUAAUAUUCAACCCCGCAAAAAAAAAAAAAAAAAAAAAAAAACUAGUUCUCUGCAGUAGUGAAUCCACAUUCCUUCCAACCAUGAUAUGAAUGCUUCAGAAGAACUGAGAUCGGAACAGCCUCAGAAGAAUGCUUCGGACCAGAUGUUAUCAUAUGCACCUGCAGAAAGAACCUAGUAUAAGUAUGAAAGCACAAAUCCGAUGCUUUAGCCAAAAAAUAAAGAGACCAGAUUUCAUGUCUCUAAAGGCAGAUUUUACAAAAUCUGUUCAAGUUUGAAGACAACUUUAUCAAGAGUUUCAUUCAAAGCAUUCUCUGGUGUCCAAGUAGCAUCAUGUAACUCCUUAUGUCCGGUAACAGUAAUAUAUAGAGUGAUUGAGAGGAUCUGAGUUCAGUGAAGGAAGAAGCUGAGUUAAAGUCAUUAUCUGAGUGUAGAGUAACCAUCUACUGCCAUAAAAUCCUUACAAAAAAAAAAAAAAAGUCAUAAUCAUAUUAAGCCAAAGUUUCUUUCUUUCCAAUAGACCCAUAUCGUUCAAAUUUAAUAUGUUUGGGUGUCUAGUAUUAGCUAAAAUAUUGGGGUCUGAACAGAGAAAAAUGAAUAUACCUCUAUAAGUGAAAAGAAAAAAAAAAAUCAACAAUUACACUAUGCAACGAUAAUACGAUAUAAUAAGAUUUGAAAUUUCACCUAGAGAUAUCGGACACUCUGCUCAACUUAACAGCUCAUCAGUUUUGCAACGGCCUUCACUUCAUUCGACUUCCCACCUGCGCGAGUGAUCUCCAAGCGCUCUCCAACCGCCAGAGUCUUUAAAAGACUAAAAUUGCCCCUCUUUCCGUGCAACAGAAGCUUACUCUUCUUCUCUCCCUCUCUUGAUUCUUGAUCAUCAAACAACUGCGAUUUUUCCUUCUCACUCCACACGCGAUUGCUUCACUCUGUUUCUCUCUCUUCUUCCUCCAAGAACAACGCUUUUUUCAUCUCUCUCUUCUCCCUCAAGACCCUGCUUUCUCAUCUCUCUCUUCUUCCUCGAAGAACAACAUCGCCGUUUUCUCUUCUCUCUCUACCCGAUGAAUUCUAACGACGACGCAGAUCAUCCCGACGAAAAUCAACCGGAAUCUCCUCCAGCAAAUCAACUGGCUAAUCCUCCUCCUUCGCCGGUAAGUUUCCCGAUUACGAGUCGUUUGAAGUAAAAAAAGCUCCUAUCUUUCCGCAACUAGGGUUUUGUUG
This 1241-nucleotide long non-coding RNA is filed under the name Arabidopsis lyrata. RNAcentral describes it as "long non-coding RNA (ALYR_LNC001198)". The record is from RNAcentral. Lineage: Eukaryota; Viridiplantae; Streptophyta; Magnoliopsida; Brassicales; Brassicaceae.